RNAcentral lists this ribosomal RNA (462 nucleotides) under uncultured bacterium. RNAcentral describes it as "partial 16S ribosomal RNA". It matches the Rfam family "Bacterial small subunit ribosomal RNA", at positions 28 to 506 of the family's 1533-position model. The record is from RNAcentral.
GACGAACGCUGGCGGCGUGCUUAACACAUGCAAGUCGAACGGAAAGGCCUUUUCGGAGGUACUCGAGUGGCGAACGGGUGAGUAACACGUGGGUGAUCUGCCCUGCACUCUGGGAUAAGCCUGGGAAACUGGGUCUAAUACCGGAUAGGACCGCACUUUAGUGUGUGUGGUGGAAAGUUUUUUCGGUGUAGGAUGAGCCCGCGGCCUAUCAGCUUGUUGGUGGGGUAAUGGCCUACCAAGGCGGCGACGGGUAGCCGGACUGAGAGGUUGGUCGGCCACAUUGGGACUGAGAUACGGCCCAGACUCCUCCGGGAGGCAGCAGUGGGGAAUAUUGCACAAUGGGCGCAAGCCUGAUGCAGCGACGCCGCGUGGGGGAUGACGGCCUUCGGGUUGUAAACGCCUUUCGCCAGGGACGAAGCGUUUUGUGACGGUACCUGGAGAAGAAGCACCGGCUAACUACGU